This 253-nucleotide ribosomal RNA is filed under the name uncultured bacterium. RNAcentral describes it as "partial 16S ribosomal RNA". It matches the Rfam family "Bacterial small subunit ribosomal RNA", at positions 524 to 776 of the family's 1533-position model. The record is from RNAcentral.
UACGUAGGGUGCAAGCGUUAAUCGGAAUUACUGGGCGUAAAGCGUGCGCAGGCGGUUUUUUAAGUCUGUUGUGAAAGCCCCGGGCUCAACCUGGGAAUUGCGAUGGAGACUGCAAGGCUUGAAUCUGGCAGAGGGGGGUAGAAUUCCACGUGUAGCAGUGAAAUGCGUAGAUAUGUGGAGGAACACCGAUGGCGAAGGCGGCCCCCUGGGUCAAGAUUGACGCUCAUGCACGAAAGCGUGGGGAGCAAACAGG